Molecule: unclassified non-coding RNA, 325 nt
Filed under: Ailanthus altissimus (tree-of-heaven)
Lineage: Eukaryota; Viridiplantae; Streptophyta; Magnoliopsida; Sapindales; Simaroubaceae
Description: partial miscellaneous RNA
Source: RNAcentral
GCUUACCCCUGGAAGGGAAUUCGAUGGAUUUUCGAUGCCCCCAUCCGCCUUGCGCCCCUCGGGGCGCGGGGUGGACUCGAGGCGGGCUCCGCGAUCCGGGCGUGCCUCGCGAUUCGUCGCGCGGCCGUCGUGGCUCGUGGGGUCUUCGCCCGUUCUCUCGGAUGCGGAAUGUUGUGCGUGGGCGCGGGGCCUCGGCCUCGCUUCGUCCAAGCUGAGCAUUCGUCCCUAGACGCGAACGACUGCCGCGCCCGUCUUGACCGCCGGAGGGCGUCUCAUGCGGGCGUCGGCGUCGCGAAAGGAAUGCUACCUGGUUGAUCCUGCCAGU